Molecule: small RNA, 37 nt
Filed under: Acididesulfobacillus acetoxydans
Lineage: Bacteria; Bacillati; Bacillota; Clostridia; Eubacteriales; Peptococcaceae
Description: CRISPR spacer
Source: RNAcentral
CCGUAGAUGACUCCGCCGACUUCGACGGUUUCUCCGA